Molecule: unclassified non-coding RNA, 198 nt
Filed under: Glomeromycetes sp.
Lineage: Eukaryota; Fungi; Glomeromycota; Glomeromycetes
Description: partial contains 5.8S ribosomal RNA and internal transcribed spacer 2
Rfam family: 5.8S ribosomal RNA (bases 1-71)
Source: RNAcentral
GUGAAUCAUCAAAUCUUUGAACGCAAAUUGCACUCUCUGGUAUUCCGGGGGGUAUGCCUGUUUGAGGGUUAGUUUGUUACAAACGUAAAAAUAAAUUUUUGGGGAUGUGGGUUUUCCAAAAGGUAUUUUUUUUGUAAUCUAAAAUUUAUCAUAACAAUUGGUGUUAUUGGAAAAGUUUAAUUUUGAUUCAUUUACAAU